UUCGUAUGUUGAGUUAAUGGC
RNAcentral lists this non-coding RNA (21 nucleotides) under Caenorhabditis elegans. The record is from RNAcentral. Lineage: Eukaryota; Metazoa; Nematoda; Chromadorea; Rhabditida; Rhabditidae.